This 255-nucleotide ribosomal RNA is filed under the name uncultured bacterium. Its description in RNAcentral is "partial 16S ribosomal RNA". It matches the Rfam family "Bacterial small subunit ribosomal RNA", at positions 99 to 354 of the family's 1533-position model. The record is from RNAcentral.
CGGACGGGUGAGUAACGCGUGGGUAACCUGCCGUAUGCAGGGGGAUAACACUUAGAAAUAGGUGCUAACACCGCAUAAGCGCACGGAGACGCAUGUUUCUGUGUGAAAAACUCCGGUGGCAUACGAUGGACCCGCGUCUGAUUAGCCAGUUGGCAGGGUAACGGCCUACCAAAGCGACGAUCAGUAGCCGGCCUGAGAGGGCGGACGGCCACAUUGGGACUGAGACACGGCCCAAACUCCUACGGAAGGCAGCAG